AGAGUUUGAUCCUGGCUCAGAACGAACGCUGACGGUGUGCCUCAUACAUGCAAGUCGAGCGGGCUCAGCAAUGGGUCAGCGGCGGACGGGUGAGUAACACGUGAACAAUCUGCCCUCAAAUUUGGGAUAACGGCUCCAACGAGCCGCUAAUACCGGAUAGGUUUAUCUGAUCACCUGGUUGGAUAAAGAAAGUUGCAACUGCAACGUUUGAGGAUGAGUUCGCGGCCCAUUAGCUAGUUGGCGGGGUAAAGGCCCACCAAGGCGACGAUGGGUAGCCGGCCUGAGAGGGUGAUCGGCCACAUUGGGACUGAGAUACGGCCCAGACUCCUACGGGAGGCAGCAGUAGGGAAUUUUGCGCAAUGGACGAAAGUCUGACGCAGCAACACCGUGUGAGGGAUGAAGCAUUUCGGUGUGUAAACCUCUGUCGAUGAUGAAUAAAGCGUGUGGGAGUGGAAAGCCCAUGCGUUGAAGGUAAUCAUGAAGGAAGCACCGGCUAACUCUGUGCCAGCAGCCGCGGUAAUACAGGGGGUGCAAGCGUUGUUCGGAAUCACUGGGCGUAAAGGGAGCGUAGGCGGAACUACAAGACAGGGGUUAAAGAUCCGGGCUCAACCUGGAGAGUGCCUUUGUGACUGUGGUUCUUGAGUAUGGUAGAGGUCAGCGGAAUUUCCGGUGUAGCGGUGGAAUGCGUAGAGAUCGGAAAGAACACCAGAGGCGAAGGCGGCUGACUGGACCAAUACUGACGCUGAGGCUCGAAAGCGUGGGGAGCAAACAGGAUUAGAUACCCUGGUAGUCC
This 793-nucleotide ribosomal RNA is filed under the name uncultured bacterium. RNAcentral's name for it is "bacterial SSU rRNA". It matches the Rfam family "Bacterial small subunit ribosomal RNA", at positions 8 to 796 of the family's 1533-position model. The record is from RNAcentral.